AGCGAACGCUGGCGGCAGGCCUAAUACAUGCAAGUCGAGCGCGCCCUUCGGGGUGAGCGGCGGACGGGUGAGUAACGCGUGGGAAUAUGCCCUUCUCUAAGGAAUAGCCUCUGGAAACGGAGAGUAAUACCUUAUACGCCCUUUGGGGGAAAGAUUUAUCGGAGAAGGAUUAGCCCGCGUUAGAUUAGGUAGUUGGUGGGGUAAUGGCCUACCAAGCCUACGAUCUAUAGCUGGUUUGAGAGGAUGAUCAGCCACACUGGGACUGAGACACAGCCCAGACUCCUACGGGGGGCAGCAGUAGGGAAUCUUAGACAAUGGGGGCAACCCUGAUCUAGCCAUGCCGCGUGUGUGAUGAAGGCCCUAGGGUCGUAAAGCACUUUCGCCAGAGAUGAUAAUGACAGUAUCUGGUAAAGAAACCCCGGCUAACUCCGUGCCAGCAGCCGCGGUAAUACGGAGGGGGUUAGCGUUGUUCGGAAUUACUGGGCGUAAAGCGCACGUAGGCGGAUUAGUAAGUUAGAGGUGAAAUCCCAGGGCUCAACCCUGGAACUGCCUUUAAUACUGCUAGUCUUGAGUUCGAGAGAGGUAAGUGGAAUUCCGAGUGUAGAGGUGAAAUUCGUA
This 618-nucleotide ribosomal RNA is filed under the name uncultured Alphaproteobacteria bacterium. RNAcentral's name for it is "bacterial SSU rRNA". It matches the Rfam family "Bacterial small subunit ribosomal RNA", at positions 28 to 692 of the family's 1533-position model. Lineage: Bacteria; Pseudomonadati; Pseudomonadota; Alphaproteobacteria. The record is from RNAcentral.